AAAAAUUCAUCUUCAUCAGGGAAUAGAAUAUACACACACAGGGAGCUGAGAGAAAAAAUCCACGGAAGACAACACUCCCACAGCUGUAGACGCACACACACAUAGACGAUAAUACACACACAGCUCACAAUUCAUCUCCUUUGUACAAAAACACGCAAAAAUAUACCACAGUGAGAAAUAGAGGAAGAUUGAGAGAGAAGAGAGGAACAGAGAGAGCUACAAGAGAGUGAGAGAUUUGCGAGAGAGGGAGAGAUCCAAGAUUUAGAAUAGAGGAAGAGAUAGAGGUCACGUUUUGGUUACUGCUCCGGCAACUGUGUCACCGGAAAAACAUCAAAAGCAUCCCGAAAUUCACCGGAAUUCAUUUCUCGCGGUUGAACUCGCUCGAUUUGACUCAAUCCUGCGAAUUUUGUAUACUGGUUUGGGUAUUGGUCAUGAUUUCAGGUUUGGCGUCUUGAUCUUCAUAUUGUUUCUGGGAAUUUAGAUUCGGAAUCUGGGAAUUUGAUUCGAGUUGGAUUUUGUGUCAUGUCGAGGUUCGAAUUGAGGUUUUUCGGGUGCGGUAUUAUCUCCAAUAUAUUAAAAUCGACACUUGAGGUUCAAUUUUUUUUACUCCCUCUUUUCGUUUCAUUUUGAUUUGGUGCAUUGCUGUUAUGAUUGUGUGGUGUUGGUUUGUGAUUGGAUGAUCUCGUUGAUGAUUGUUUUGUAUGAAAAUUGACGUAUAAGAAGAAAUUCGGGGCGGAAUUGAGAAAUCGAUAAAAAGGUGAAUUUGGAUGAAUUAAGAUUCAUUGAUUUUGGUUUAAUUUGGUAAUAGCAUGAUAAAUCGGAAGUAAUAGAAAAACGUAGGUUGGGUAGGCAAAUUUAAGAUGUGUGAUUGUUGAAUGAUGAAAUGUGUGUAGAAUGGUUUUAAUUUAUGCAUUGGGAUCUAUUGUAUUUAUGUAGCCGGGGAAUGCCCCGAGAAAUUUGUAUUGAUUUAUCCGGGGAAUGCCCCGAAGUACCAUGUACUUGAAGACGACGCACGAUCAAGGCCCGAAACAUCGGGUGGAGAAAGCAAUGGAGUGUAGUUUAGAAUUAGCAUAGAAUAGAGUAGGUUUAUAGUUUUGCAUUUUUUUAUUUCGGGAUUGUAAUAAUCGGACUG
RNAcentral lists this long non-coding RNA (1132 nucleotides) under Capsicum annuum. RNAcentral's name for it is "long non-coding RNA (CANN_LNC002244)". The record is from RNAcentral. Lineage: Eukaryota; Viridiplantae; Streptophyta; Magnoliopsida; Solanales; Solanaceae.